AACCUUACCAGGUUCUUGACAUCCCGAUGCUAUUUCUAGAGAUAGAAAGUUACUUCGGUACAUCGGUGACAGGUGGUGCAUGGUUGUCGUCAGCUCGUGUCGUGAGAUGUUGGGUUAAGUCCCGCAACGAGCGCAACCCUUGUCUUUAGUUGCCAUCAUUAAGUUGGGCACUCUAAAGAGACUGCCGGUGUCAAACCGGAGGAAGUGGGGAUGACGUCAAGUCCUCAUGGCCUUUAUGACCAGGGCUACACACGUACUACAAUGGCAGGUACAAAGGGCAGCCACUUAGCGAUAAGGCGCGAAUCCCGUAAAACCUGUCUCAGUCCGGAUUGGAGUCUGCAACUCGACUCCAUGAAGUUGGAAUCGCUAGUAAUCGCAGAUCAGCACGCUGCGGUGAAUACGUUCCCGGGCCUU
RNAcentral lists this ribosomal RNA (414 nucleotides) under uncultured Desulfocapsa sp. RNAcentral describes it as "bacterial SSU rRNA". It matches the Rfam family "Bacterial small subunit ribosomal RNA", at positions 967 to 1382 of the family's 1533-position model. Lineage: Bacteria; Pseudomonadati; Thermodesulfobacteriota; Desulfobulbia; Desulfobulbales; Desulfocapsaceae. The record is from RNAcentral.